CGGCCGCGUCGACGUGGCGACCGACGAUAAGCUCCGGGGAGCUGGAAGCAAGCAUUGAGCCGGAGAUGUCCGAAUGGGGCAACCCAGUAAGCAUCAGUUGAAUACAUAGACUGAGAGCGGCGAACCCAGCGAAUUGAAACAUCUUAGUAGCUGGAGGAAGAGAAAGCAAUAGCGAUUUCCCAAGUAGUGGUGAGCGAACGGGAAACAGCCUAAACCGUAAUAAUGUCAAGUUGUAAGGCGUUGUUAUUGCGGUGUUGUAGGGCGGCGAGUGGUAUACUUACAUAUAUCGACUUUGCUAUAUAUGAUAGUGGAACUGUUUUGGAAAAGCAGGCCAUAGUGGGUGAUAGCCCUGUACACGAAAUCAUAUAUACAAGGUUUUGUCGUUCCUGAGUAGGGCGGGUCGACGCGGCCG
Molecule: ribosomal RNA, 412 nt
Filed under: uncultured Brachyspira sp.
Lineage: Bacteria; Pseudomonadati; Spirochaetota; Spirochaetia; Brachyspirales; Brachyspiraceae
Description: bacterial LSU rRNA
Rfam family: Bacterial large subunit ribosomal RNA
Source: RNAcentral